UGAUUGAACGUUAGCGGGAUGCCUUACACAUGCAAGUCGAACGGGCAGCACGGACUUCGGUCUGGUGGCGAGUGGCGAACGGGUGAGUAAUGUAUCGAACAGCCCAGUAGCGGGUAGGGAUAACUACGCGAAAGCGUAGCUAAUACCGCAUACGCCCUACGGGGGAAAGCAGGGGAUCGCAAGACCUUGCACUAUUGAGCGGCCGAUAUCGGAUUAGGGCUAGUUAGGCAAUACCACCAAGGCGACGAUCCGUAGCUGGUUUGAGAGGACGACCAGCCACACUGGGACUGAGACACGGCCCAGACUCCUACGGGAGGCAGCAGUGGGGAAUUUUGGAUGUAUGGGGGAAACCCCGAUCCAGCCAUCCCGCGUGCGAUGAAGGCCUUCUCGGGUUGUAAAGCACUUUGGCAGGAAAGAAACGUCGUGGGUUAAUACUCCGCGAAACUGACGGUACCUGCAGAAUAAGCACCGGCUAACUACGUGCCAGCAGCCGCGGUAAUACGUAGGGUGCAAGCGUUAAUCGGAAUUUCAUUGGCGCAAGCGUGCGCAGGCGGUCUAAAAAGAAAGAUGUGAACCAGAGCUUAAAUUUGAACCCAUUUUUAACUACCGGGCUAGAGUGUGUCAGAGGGAGGUGGAAUUCCGCGUGUAGCAGUGAAAUGCGUAGAUAUGCGGAGGAACACCGAUGGCGAAUAUGGCAGCCUCCUGGGAUAAAGACUGACGCUCAUGCACGAAAGCGUGGGGAGCAAACAGGAUUAGAUACUCCCGGUAGUCCACGUCUAAACGAUGUCAACUAGCUGUUGGGGCCUUCGGGCUCUGGUAGCGUACAUCGCGUGAAGUUGACCGCCUGUGGAGUACGGUCGCAGACAACUCAAAGAAUUGACGGACCUGCACAAGCGGUGGAUGAUGUGGAUUACCCGAUGCAACGCAGAAAACCUGUACCUACCCUGACAUGUCUGGAAUGCCGAAGAAGGACGGCAGUGCUCGCAAGAGAACCGGAAACACAGUGCUGCAUGGCUGCCGUCAGCUCGUGUCGAGAUGUUGGGUUAAGUCCCGCAACGAGCGCAACCCUUGUCAUUAGUUGCUACGAAAUUCCACGAGACUGCCGGUGACAAACUGGAGGAAGCAGGGAUGACGUCAAGUCCUCAUGGCCCUUAUGGGGCUUCACACGCUGUACAAUGGUCGGGACAGAGGGUCGCCAACCCGCGAGGGGGAGCCAAUCCCAGAAACCCGAUCAGAACCGGAUCGCAGUCUGCAACUCGACUGCGUGCCGGAAUCGCCAGGUAAUCGCGGAUCAGCAUGUCGCGGUGAAUACGUUCCCGGGUCUUGUACACACCGCCCGUCACACCAUGGGGAGUGGGUUUUUACCAGAAGUAGUUAGCCUAACCGCAAGGGGGCGAUUACCACGGUAGGAUUCAUGACUGGGUGAAGUCGUAACAAGGUAG
RNAcentral lists this ribosomal RNA (1442 nucleotides) under uncultured Bordetella sp. RNAcentral's name for it is "partial 16S-23S ribosomal RNA intergenic spacer". It matches the Rfam family "Bacterial small subunit ribosomal RNA". Lineage: Bacteria; Pseudomonadati; Pseudomonadota; Betaproteobacteria; Burkholderiales; Alcaligenaceae. The record is from RNAcentral.